RNAcentral lists this ribosomal RNA (460 nucleotides) under uncultured bacterium. Its description in RNAcentral is "partial 16S ribosomal RNA". It matches the Rfam family "Bacterial small subunit ribosomal RNA", at positions 338 to 795 of the family's 1533-position model. The record is from RNAcentral.
CCUACGGGUGGCAGCAGUGAGGAAUAUUGGUCAAUGGACGAGAGUCUGAACCAGCCAAGUAGCGUGAAGGAUGACUGCCCUGUGGAUUGUAAACUUCUUUUAUCUGGGAAUAAAACAUGGUAUGCAUACCCUCUUGUGUGUACCAUAUGAAUAAGGAUCGGCUAACUCCGUGCCAGCAGCCGCGGUAAUACGGAGGAUCCGAGCGUUAUCCGGAUUUAUUGGGUUUAAAGGGAGCGUAGGUGGAGUGUUAAGUCAGUUGUGAAAGGUUGCGGCUCAACCGUAAAAUGGCAGUUGAAACUGGCAGUCUUGAGUACAGUAGAGGUGGGCGGAAUUCGUGGUGUAGCGGUGAAAUGCUUAGAUAUCACGAAGAACUCCGAUGGCGAAGGCAGCUCACCGGACUGCAACUGACACUGAUGCUCGAAAGUGUGGGUAUCAAACAGGAUUAGAUACCCCGGUAGUC